RNAcentral lists this ribosomal RNA (513 nucleotides) under Bifidobacterium longum subsp. suillum. RNAcentral describes it as "bacterial SSU rRNA". It matches the Rfam family "Bacterial small subunit ribosomal RNA", at positions 161 to 689 of the family's 1533-position model. The record is from RNAcentral. Lineage: Bacteria; Bacillati; Actinomycetota; Actinomycetes; Bifidobacteriales; Bifidobacteriaceae.
UGGUAAUGCCGGAUGCUCCAGUUGAUCGCAUGGUCUUCUGGGAAAGCUUUCGCGGUAUGGGAUGGGGUCGCGUCCUAUCAGCUUGACGGCGGGGUAACGGCCCACCGUGGCUUCGACGGGUAGCCGGCCUGAGAGGGCGACCGGCCACAUUGGGACUGAGAUACGGCCCAGACUCCUACGGGAGGCAGCAGUGGGGAAUAUUGCACAAUGGGCGCAAGCCUGAUGCAGCGACGCCGCGUGAGGGAUGGAGGCCUUCGGGUUGUAAACCUCUUUUAUCGGGGAGCAAGCGAGAGUGAGUUUACCCGUUGAAUAAGCACCGGCUAACUACGUGCCAGCAGCCGCGGUAAUACGUAGGGUGCAAGCGUUAUCCGGAAUUAUUGGGCGUAAAGGGCUCGUAGGCGGUUCGUCGCGUCCGGUGUGAAAGUCCAUCGCUUAACGGUGGAUCCGCGCCGGGUACGGGCGGGCUUGAGUGCGGUAGGGGAGACUGGAAUUCCCGGUGUAACGGUGGAAUGU